Molecule: ribosomal RNA, 250 nt
Filed under: uncultured Dethiobacter sp.
Lineage: Bacteria; Bacillati; Bacillota; Dethiobacteria; Dethiobacterales; Dethiobacteraceae
Description: partial 16S ribosomal RNA
Rfam family: Bacterial small subunit ribosomal RNA
Source: RNAcentral
UACGUAGGGGGCGAGCGUUGUCCGGAAUUACUGGGCGUAAAGGGCGUGUAGGCAGCCGAUCAAGUCAGGUGUGAAAUUCCAAGGCUCAACCUUGGACGUGCACUUGAAACUGGUUGGCUUGAGUGCAGGAGAGGAAAGUGGAAUUCCCAGUGUAGCGGUGAAAUGCGUAGAUAUUGGGAGGAACUCCAGUGGCGAAGGCGACUUUCUGGCCUGUAACUGACGCUGAGGCGCGAAAGGUAGGGGAGCAAAC